This is a long non-coding RNA of Entelurus aequoreus (snake pipefish), 866 nucleotides long. RefSeq lists it as uncharacterized. The record is from RefSeq and is a predicted model, not a curated record. The transcript is spliced from 6 exons. Lineage: Eukaryota; Metazoa; Chordata; Actinopteri; Syngnathiformes; Syngnathidae.
CUCCCACACCUGUCCCUGAUUGUCAAUCAGGACACACCUGUCCUUGUUUGGAAAUCAGUGUGUUUCCUCUGGACAUAGCUGGAUAGUCGGUGAUUGGAACCUCUGCAGGUUGGCAUCCUAAAUCUGGCCACGCUCACUUGGAGGGGAACCACUGUCAAUGACAACACACAGACUUUUCCACACAGUCUGCACUUUUAAUAGUUGGAAUGGGAAGGGUGCGUGAAACAUCCAGUCAAAUGUUUCUGUGCACAAGCUGACGGAUGAAUACUGCAUCCAACCGGGGGGAAAGAAAGCAUGAGCUAAAUAUACAGAAGAAGAACUAGUACUUCCAGCACAAAGGAAGAGUGAGACGUUGGAGCAGAUGGAAGCGGAGAGAGUGAGGUGAAAGUGACUCGAAGCUGCAAAAUGUGGAACUUGGAGCCAAGCUAUUUCGACAUAAAUGGAGUGCUUACCCAAAUAAACCGGGGGAAAAAAACGCCUUCCUCCAGCUGGACCUAACAGACAACUAUCCAUCGAUUUUCAUCAAACCCACGCAGAGGACAAUUCGGGGAAAAAAUGAAGGUUUUCAUUAGGAUUAUGGAGCGUGUUUAGUGGGAGGAGCGUUAGUGAAGUUGACCGUGGAUGUGGGUCAUGAAGAUGCUGCUUGCCAUCCCAGAGGUGCUUUUUGGAUGAUGGGCCCGCUGCCAGCCGGGCUAUUUCAUCAUCAGAUGUUAGCGUGCAUUAUCAGGGAGGCGGCGGUCCGCCAGACAAGUUGUCAUCGAGUCCAAAGCGCACACGCAGAUUUGCAGCUCACCUUAAAAACGCAAGUCUGGGGAAUAAAUCCCAAAAGUUUUAAUGCACUCUUGAACUUUGUAUGAUGAAUAAAU